RNAcentral lists this ribosomal RNA (397 nucleotides) under uncultured delta proteobacterium. RNAcentral describes it as "bacterial SSU rRNA". It matches the Rfam family "Bacterial small subunit ribosomal RNA", at positions 114 to 507 of the family's 1533-position model. Lineage: Bacteria; Deltaproteobacteria. The record is from RNAcentral. RNAcentral also lists the same sequence under 1 other name.
UGCAUCGGAACGUGCCCAGUAGUGGGGGAUAGCCCGGCGAAAGCCGGAUUAAUACCGCAUGAGACCUGAGGGUGAAAGCGGGGGAUCGCAAGACCUCGCGCUACUGGAGCGGCCGAUGUCAGAUUAGCUAGUUGGUGGGGUAAAGGCCUACCAAGGCAACGAUCUGUAGUUGGUCUGAGAGGACGACCAGCCACACUGGGACUGAGACACGGCCCAGACUCCUACGGGAGGCAGCAGUGGGGAAUUUUGGACAAUGGGCGCAAGCCUGAUCCAGCAAUGCCGCGUGCAGGAAGAAGGCCUUCGGGUUGUAAACUGCUUUUGUCAGGGAAGAAAUCUUCUGGGUUAAUACCUCGGGAGGAUGACGGUACCUGAAGAAUAAGCACCGGCUAACUACGUG